RNAcentral lists this transfer RNA (82 nucleotides) under Candidatus Omnitrophota bacterium. Its description in RNAcentral is "Candidatus Omnitrophica bacterium (groundwater metagenome) tRNA-Leu". It matches the Rfam family "tRNA". From Rfam's summary of the family: Transfer RNA (tRNA) molecules are approximately 80 nucleotides in length. Their secondary structure includes four short double-helical elements and three loops (D, anti-codon, and T loops). The record is from RNAcentral. Lineage: Bacteria; Pseudomonadati; Candidatus Omnitrophota.
GCGGAGGUGGUGGAACUGGCAGACACGUAGGUCUCAGAAGCCUAUGCCGCAAGGCGUGAGGGUUCAACUCCCUCCCUCCGCA